GUAAGCGCGCUUAGUAGCGUCUGCGAGUGUCCCAUCCGUUGCCAUCCUCAGCGAGACCGGAUCGCAGCGCGACGGAGGGGUGCGGGUGGUGCUAUGGGAGACUGGAGGAUAGUCUGGGGCCUUCAGCCGGGACUUAUCGGAACCGAUAGCCGGCCCCAGGAGCCUCCGGAGGCCCGUCGUUUUCUUUACAAAGUUUGACUCCGUGAUAACCAGCAAAUUGCAACUCUCAAUGACUCUAGUCUGGCCUCGAACCCACGGCAGCUCCCUUGCCUCAAUCUUUCCAGUGCCAGGAUUCCAGGCGGGACCACUAUGCCCGAUUUCCGUGGUUCUUAACUUGCAUUUGGGAAGUUGAGUCCUACGGGGAGUGAAGCGCCACAUUGCUGGGUUUGGGGACAAGCGGACGUCAGUCCUCCCCUCCGUACUUACCGGAACUGUGCUCCCAGUGUCUUUGGUCGGAAGGGUGUGUAGUAAUCCCGUCUGUUUUGUGAGUUGCGAAGAUGCCUGCCGUAGGGUCUUGAAGGUGCAAAGAAACUGCUGUUAGUAUUUCGGUAAUUACUUCUGGAUGCUAACAGCUUUGAAAGUGAGUGGGGAUAAAAUAAACCUGAGCACUUCCUAGGGUUGAAGUAGAUAGUGCAAAAGUCUGGCUUUGUCCUAAACAUAGUUCCAUGUGGAUAAUGUACUUUUGGCUGCUUUCUGGAUUGGGGGCCAGUUUAGACUAAAUAAGUAGAGCCUAACAUUUUUGCAGGGAUUUGAAUUCCCACCCAUCCUGGGCCCAGAACCCAGGGCCUUCACAUAUUAGCAAGUGCUCUAAGGCGCUGAGCCAGCAGCAUGUCUUGUGUGUCUUAGUUUUUAUCCUGAGCCUGGGUUUCAGUGAGUGGAGUCUGGGAGGAUGGUUCCAAGCCCAGACAAAAAUCUCACUUGUGUGUGGUAAAUGAAUUUGUCAAUGGGUGGAAAAUAAGUACCCUGAAAGAUAAAUAACAAUUGAAGGUAUAAAAAGUCAUCAAAGAUAGGGGACACUUGUUUGGGAAUUGGUUCCAUCCUAGUUCACCUUAUGCAGGGUGUUGACAUUCGCCACAACAAGGACCGAAAGGUUCGGCGCAAGGAGCCCAAGAGCCAGGAUAUCUACCUGCGGCUGCUAGUCAAGGUAAGCCUGGGCUAUUGCAUCCUUUUACAACUCCCACAGCAAGUGGGGUGGGGAGAGGAGGGACCCGGACAUGUGAGCAGUGCCCCUAACACAUCCAUCACCAGGAGUUCAGGCAGAUGGGAGAGAGCUGUGGAAGGGUCCUGGCUUUUAGGGAAGGAAGACUCUCACAUGUUCAAUCUUCCCUUUCCCUUCCAGCUGUACAGGUUUCUGGCCAGACGGACCAACUCCACCUUCAACCAGGUUGUGCUGAAAAGGUUAUUUAUGAGCCGAACUAACCGGCCACCUCUGUCCCUGUCCCGAAUGGUUAGUAGUUGGGCAGGGGUCAGUUCAUGUGUUCUGGGGUGUUGACACCAGCAGGGAAUACAGACCUCUGUGCUUUGGCCUCCCCAGGUGACAACCCCUCGGUGUCUUUUACCUGGGGAUUUCUCUGACUUGGUUUACUCCUGGGAUUGGAGAGAGAUUGAUUCCAUGGCUGCCAGGCCCUCAGGGGCCUGUCACUGGGGAGAAGGGAGGUUGGCCUCAGCCACUAGAAGUCUUGGCUGUUUUGGUCUUCUGGGUGACUGGUAUGGACACAGAGUGAUGUAACCAGCUUGCCCCUGACAGAUCCGGAAGAUGAAGCUUCCUGGUCGGGAGAACAAAACUGCUGUGGUUGUGGGGACGAUCACAGAUGAUGUGCGGAUUCUGGAAGUGCCCAAGCUGAAGGUAAGUGGCCAGCAUGGGCCCAGGGUACAUGUCUCUGGCCUUGCUGUGUGCGGGUGGCUCCCUUCAUGUGAGCUGUAGUCAGAGCUGCUCUGCUCUUUGUUUUGUGGAGUGGUGCUUUGGAAUCCUUUUAGACAGGAAGUAUUGAGGGUGCUUGCCAUCCACUGGAAAGAUUUUGGUGGCAGUUUAUCAGAGUCCGCUACCUGAGUGGUGUGACAAUCCCCCUAUUUCUGGUGUGUACCCUCAGGUGUGUGCACUGAGGGUGAGCAGCCGGGCCCGAAGUCGGAUCCUCAAGGCUGGGGGUAAGAUCCUGACCUUCGACCAGCUGGCCCUGGAGUCUCCCAAGGGCAGGGGCACUGUGCUCUUGUCUGGUCCUCGGAAGGGCCGAGAGGUGUACCGACACUUUGGCAAGGCCCCAGGAACUCCACACAGCCACACCAAGUGAGUAGUGGGGCCUUGUCCUUCGGUAGCUGUUAGCCCUGGUGGCCACCAGCGUGUUGUUUACUUGGUGGGGGGUGGUCACGACUGGGCUAACCAGGGCCUGUACCAUUUCCGAGGGGCGGGUGGUUACUGGGAAGACUCAGCUCAGAAGAGCUUCUCAGUGUUAGAGGAACAGGUCCCAGUGGCCACUGAGCUGAGCUCUCACCUUCCUCCUUUCCCCACAGACCCUAUGUCCGUUCCAAGGGCCGGAAGUUCGAGCGUGCCAGAGGCCGAAGGGCCAGCCGAGGCUACAAAAACUAACCCUGGCUCUUACUGUUAAUAAAAAAGCUUUGGAUGUUG
RNAcentral lists this long non-coding RNA (2623 nucleotides) under Rattus norvegicus (Norway rat). Its description in RNAcentral is "long non-coding RNA NONRATT000711". The record is from RNAcentral. Lineage: Eukaryota; Metazoa; Chordata; Mammalia; Rodentia; Muridae.